This 501-nucleotide ribosomal RNA is filed under the name uncultured bacterium. RNAcentral describes it as "partial 16S ribosomal RNA". It matches the Rfam family "Bacterial small subunit ribosomal RNA", at positions 30 to 523 of the family's 1533-position model. The record is from RNAcentral.
AUUGAACGCUGGCGGCAGGCUUAACACAUGCAAGUCGAGCGGGGGAAGGUAGCUUGCUACCGGACCUAGCGGCGGACGGGUGAGUAAUGCUUAGGAAUCUGCCUAUUAGUGGGGGACAACAUCUCGAAAGGGAUGCUAAUACCGCAUACGUCCUACGGGAGAAAGCAGGGGAUCUUCGGACCUUGCGCUAAUAGAUGAGCCUAAGUCGGAUUAGCUAGUUGGUGGGGUAAAGGCCUACCAAGGCGACGAUCUGUAGGGGGUCUGAGAGGAUGAUCCGCCACACUGGGACUGAGACACGGCCCAGACUCCUACAGGAGGCAGCAGUGGGGAAUAUUGGACAAUGGGGGGAACCCUGAUCCAGCAAUGCCGCGUGUGUGAAGAAGGCCUUAUGGUUGUAAAGCACUUUAAGCGAGGAGGAGGCUACUCUAGUUAAUACCUAGGGAUAGUGGACGUUACUCGCAGAAUAAGCACCGGCUAACUCUGUGCCAGCCGCCGCAGUAA